UUUUAUGGCGGCUAUGUACGGGCGGACUUUGUCCGGCCGGGUUGGUUUCCUUACCGGUAAUCUCACUCCGUACAUAGUUGCCACCUCA
Molecule: non-coding RNA, 88 nt
Filed under: Pseudomonas sp. IT-232MI5
Lineage: Bacteria; Pseudomonadati; Pseudomonadota; Gammaproteobacteria; Pseudomonadales; Pseudomonadaceae
Also listed under: 1 other name
Source: RNAcentral